GGGGGUGUAGCUCAGUGGAAGAGAAUUUGACUGCACAUCAACAGGUCCCCAGUGCAACUCUGGGUGCCCCCU
This 72-nucleotide transfer RNA is filed under the name Hippoglossus stenolepis (Pacific halibut). RNAcentral describes it as "tRNA-Cys". It matches the Rfam family "tRNA". From Rfam's summary of the family: Transfer RNA (tRNA) molecules are approximately 80 nucleotides in length. Their secondary structure includes four short double-helical elements and three loops (D, anti-codon, and T loops). Lineage: Eukaryota; Metazoa; Chordata; Actinopteri; Pleuronectiformes; Pleuronectidae. The record is from RNAcentral.